Long non-coding RNA from Coregonus clupeaformis (lake whitefish), 651 nucleotides. RefSeq lists it as uncharacterized. The transcript has 3 exons. The record is from RefSeq and is a predicted model, not a curated record. Lineage: Eukaryota; Metazoa; Chordata; Actinopteri; Salmoniformes; Salmonidae.
GUUAUUGAUGCCAAAUUGCAAACCUUAUUUGCACCUUCUCUAUUCCAGAACCAAUGGGUGUGCCUGUCUUAUCACCUCAUAACUAGACACAGACCCGAAGACAUUCAAGCUGCAAGCAUCCCAAGUCUCUAAUGGUCCCAGUACUGGUUAAUGUGCAGGCCUAAGUGACCACACACACUCAAAUGGACCUACAGCUGGGACACACGAUGAGCACGAUCUGAACGCUGCAACUGAGACUGAAUGACGUUGAGACUCCGAGUAUGACUGGACAUGGGCCGGAUAUUUGUGACAACGACCUAAAAGGGGUGAAGCACAGCAGCAUCCAAUUUGAUGUUUAUUCCAUGGCCAUCCAUCCCUCUAGCUACCCCUUAUUCCACACGAUGCCUUUUAUGCUCCAUGUUCCCUCAACUUCGGACACUUUGGACCUCUCCAUCUUAUCUCUAUAAACCCACCCUACCUUCACCCAUCUUCCCUAUGCUGUUUCCUUCACUUGUUCUUCUCCUGAUUGGAAAACAUCUAGACUCAGUAACACAUUUUAAGUGUUGUGGUGUACUGUUUUUGCGACCUUUUUUUAAACCGGUGUAAUGCUGGCCUCCUGCUUAUUCUGGGGUUCAGACUGAAUGCAGUGUUAAAUUAAUGUUAAAAAAACGA